UGUCUAGAAUAUUUAGUCGAGAUAUUAAUAAUUGAAUCUGAGUACAUUAAAAUUACAGAAUAAAUUAAUUGACUUACAAGAUAUCACAUGAAUAACGUGAUAAUAUGUUACAAUACAGCGGAAGAGAAUUAAAUUCUAACUUAAUAGAUUAACAUAAUAACAAAGAAGAAGACGAUAGUCUUCUAAUCCGAUAAUCCAAGCUCAACCUCAAUCAUCAGUUCCUACCUGGUCCUUGCUCCGGUUAACCUGUUUACCUAAAAAAAAAUUGGAAGUCGUGGGAUGAGACUACUAAGCCUCAGUGAGCUCCUACUACCCAACUACUGGUGACUACACCGGGACAACUGAAACUAAUAGUUUCUAACUUUANNNNNNNNNNNNNNNNNNNNNNNNNNNNNNNNNNNNNNNNNNNNNNNNNNNNNNNNNNNNNNNNNNNNNAGUUUUCAUAAUUAUGAUAAUAAAGCAAUAAAGGUGUAACACACAUAAUAAUUAUCUUGUCAAUUUUAUCAUAACAGGAUCACCCCGGGGUAAGCAGGUCCCGGAGUGCCUGGCCUGGUAUUACCGAUAAUAAUGUACGUCGGAAUACAACAUGAGCUUACAGUUCUUAUUACAUGAUUUUGGAUUCUGAAUGAAUCCCCUGACAAGGUACUAAUGACCACGCUUCUUGAUAUUGGUACUAAUGACCAAACAUCCUGAUAAAUUCUGAAACAUAAUUUAUAAUCCUGAAUGGUUAUCCUACCCAAAAGAAAGAAAACCUUCCCGGGGUAAUUCUAAUUGUCCUGAUUCCUGAACCUAAGUUCCUGAGCGUGAUAAACAUUCUAAUCACAUAAUAUUAUUACGCUGCUUACGAAAUAUUCUAGAAUAGUCAGGGAUAUAAAACGAGUGGAUUUUUAUUUAAAAUGUUGAUUCUACAGAGUCCUAAUCUGAUACGCUCGCUUAGCGAAGCAAGAUGCUCGCUAUGCGAGAAUACCAGUUCAAUUCUCAGUUUUUACUUUUAAAAGAGUUUAUCAGAUUCCACCUACAAUCUCAUUCAUGUCCAGUCAUAAGCAACUAAAAUAUUAUUAUAUAAUUAGAAUGGAGAUGGUUUUGGGAUUAAACCUUCUCACACAAUUAUUUCCUAAUUUUCCCUAUUGUUGUCAUGCAUAAUUUUGGGGAGACUAAUUUCCUAACUAAUACUAAUGUUAUCAUACAUAUAUUGAAUUCGGGGAAACUAAAGGUGCUAACUAAUCUAAAAGUUAAGCUUCUAAAGGAACCCACCUGCGAUGUCUAGCAAUUCCGAGUUGUUCCACACACUCUUAAGCAUCCGUUGGUGUCGCUCAAAUACGCAACUUCCAUGACUGAUUUUUCUGCAUAAUCAGCUUCAGAACUCCAACUUCAAACACGUCCAUAGAGCUCAUCCCUAAUCCAUAAUUUACAAAUCAGGUGCCGAAACGACGGGAAAAACGUCAGCUUUCCAUAGAAACAGACGGAAUCUCAAUCGGAGUUACAGAGAAAGAGCAGUUACCUUUUUAGUGAGGGUAUAUCCAGGAAUACGGGUUUCAACAUAAGUUCUCUAAAAUCACCAACCCAAUUCUUUAAACUCCAAAACUUUGAAAGCUCUUUCUUAUUUUUCCUGAAUGGUUAAUUGAAAGGUUAUGAACUUGAUCUCCCUCAAACCCACGAGUUUGCAUUUUCUCAAAACACCACGUACAACAAUACAAAAAUUAAGAGAUGGAAUUAAGGCUUAGAGCUCGCUGGACAGAUGAAGAAAUGAGAGAAAACCAAAUCUUGAACCUUACCUCAGUUCCCCAAAAUAUAAGAUGAUGACAAUCUUUUAGUUAUGCUCCAACUCAGUUGCUUCUAUUAAUUCAAGUUUUUGCCCUUUUCUUAGAUUCCUUCAAGCUCCUUAAUUAAUUUCAACCCCUUUUGAUUUUGUUCCAGCUCCACCACAAUUUCCCAAUGUCCUCUUUACACCAUAGAAACUCACAUACAAAUAGUAAAAGUAGGAGCAAUGAAUCUAAUGAGAUUUCCAAACGACUAAAAGGGAAAGAGCAAUCAUUUGAGAGGGAAAACUAGUGAUUCUUACCUUUAUUUGCUCACAUCCAGAACUGAUGGUCUUGUAACAAGAUUCAAGACUCAGGAUUGUUAAAUGCAAGCACUAACCCAUAAGAAAUUGAAGAUGGAUUUUCUGGGUAUUUGACAGAGGCGUGGAGUGAGGGGUGGAAGAGAGAGAGAGCUUGAAUAACUUGUCUUGUUUCUUGAAUUACUAAAAUGAAGGAUAAAGGGGGUGGGUGUUGUUGUUUGCGUGAGGAAUAGAAGAGAGUUUCUUUGUUCUGUUUUCAUGCGUGAAAAGAGAGAGAGAAGACAUUGUGUGUUGUUGUGGUAAUGACUAGAGAAAGAAGGAAUAGACUUGUCUUCCUUUAUAGGUGAGUGGGUCCCUUGACCCUUGUUUUGCUUCUACUUCACGUGGAAGGAUAAGGGAAAUUAAGGGAAGUUUCAAUAAAUUUUGUUUCUUUCAAUUUCUUGGGUUACUAAAGUGUGGUCCCUCCAUGUGUGGUGUUUGAAUCAUAGACAAACUUCCAUUUACUACUCCCAUACACUAUUAAUUAUUAU
This 2589-nucleotide long non-coding RNA is filed under the name Trifolium pratense (red clover). RNAcentral describes it as "long non-coding RNA (TPRA_LNC010772)". Lineage: Eukaryota; Viridiplantae; Streptophyta; Magnoliopsida; Fabales; Fabaceae. The record is from RNAcentral.